Molecule: ribosomal RNA, 550 nt
Filed under: uncultured bacterium
Lineage: Bacteria
Description: bacterial SSU rRNA
Rfam family: Bacterial small subunit ribosomal RNA
Source: RNAcentral
CUACGGGAGGCAGCAGUGGGGAAUCUUAGACAAUGGGCGAAAGCCUGAUCUAGCCAUGCCGCGUGAGUGAUGAAGGCCCUAGGGUCGUAAAGCUCUUUCGCCAGGGAUGAUAAUGACAGUACCUGGUAAAGAAACCCCGGCUAACUCCGUGCCAGCAGCCGCGGUAAUACGGAGGGGGUUAGCGUUGUUCGGAAUUACUGGGCGUAAAGCGCGCGUAGGCGGAUUGGAAAGUUGGGGGUGAAAUCCCAGGGCUCAACCCUGGAACUGCCUCCAAAACUAUCAAUCUAGAGUUCGAGAGAGGUGAGUGGAAUUCCGAGUGUAGAGGUGAAAUUCGUAGAUAUUAGAAGGAACAUCAGUGGCGAAGGCGACUCCCUGGCCAAAGACUGACGCUCAUGUGCGAAAGUGUGGGUAGCGAACAGGAUUAGAUACCCUGGUAGUCCACACCGUAAACGCUGUCUACUAGCUGUUUGUGAGUUUAACUCGUGAGUAGCGAAGCUAACGCGCUAAGUAGACCGCCUGGGGAGUACGGCCGCAAGGUUAAAACUCAAAU